CUUUUUUUUACUCCCAUGAGGCACCUCUCUCUUCUAAAUUGUGGUUGGCAAGUCCAUAAUUUUCAAGGCAGUCUGGCAAGUGACAAGGAGGAGAGAGGGGAGCAACAGGUGACAUGACUGCUUAAGCCUAAAGGUGACAGGCUGUGGAGAUGGAUGCUCUGAGGAGAUGGAUGCCCUGACCACAUUUCCCAUCUGUAACAGAAAGCUAGCCCUAUCAGAUCAGAAGCUCACUCUACGAUGAACGCCUUACCUUCAGGGAGUCCAUUCCCAACUGGGAAACCUCUUUCGAUAUCCCUGAAGAGGACCACGAUAAAGUCAGCGCAGCCAGGAGAGCCAGACCUUAAGUCUCUAGUCCAACAGAGCAGCUUUGAAGGUCAAUUGUGUCAGGAGAAUAAAGCUUCUCCCUCUAGCCUGCAAGUCUGAGGGAACAUAAUCAGCUUCCCGGUGGCAGCUAUAAGAAGGACCCCAGCCAAGACAUACAGUGAAAGGACAUUUAGUCAUGGAUCUGCUAACAGCUGGCCAUGUGACCUUGUGAAGGU
RNAcentral lists this long non-coding RNA (539 nucleotides) under Mus spicilegus (steppe mouse). RNAcentral's name for it is "lncRNA (ENSMSIG00000022234.1)". Lineage: Eukaryota; Metazoa; Chordata; Mammalia; Rodentia; Muridae. The record is from RNAcentral.